AGGCCGGAAAAAAGAAGUGCGCGCGCGCGCGCGAGGAGCCCUGAAUUCAAAACGAUGUGACCAGAGCAUGGCGUGCGGCCGUGUGUCCGGGCCACGACCGGAACAGAUCGCAGGCAACGAACGAGUUGCGUGCGGGCCUGCCCGGUCCGGCGCGAGUGCGAGGGCGACACGUACCAGUUGAUGGGCUAAAUUGAAGGCGGGAGAGGAGC
RNAcentral lists this long non-coding RNA (209 nucleotides) under Brachypodium distachyon (stiff brome). RNAcentral describes it as "long non-coding RNA (BDIS_LNC002574)". Lineage: Eukaryota; Viridiplantae; Streptophyta; Magnoliopsida; Poales; Poaceae. The record is from RNAcentral.